GAUGCGGUUUUUUUAAAAACCACAUCCGAAAAUCAACCAAAAAAUGG
Molecule: non-coding RNA, 47 nt
Organism: Beta vulgaris subsp. vulgaris (sugar beet)
Lineage: Eukaryota; Viridiplantae; Streptophyta; Magnoliopsida; Caryophyllales; Amaranthaceae
Source: Rfam